This 316-nucleotide ribosomal RNA is filed under the name uncultured bacterium. Its description in RNAcentral is "partial 16S ribosomal RNA". The record is from RNAcentral.
UCCAGCGGAGUACUUAACGCGUUAGCUGCGGUACCAAGGACUCGAUCCCCCAACACCUAGUGGACAACGUAUAGGGGGGGGUCUAAAAGGGUAUUUAAUCGUGUUUGCUCCCCACGCUUUCGUGCCUGAGCGUCAGGACGGGCCCAGGGGGCCGCCUUCCGGAUGGGUGUUUCCCCAGAUAUCUACACAUUUCACCGGUACACCGGGAAUUCCACCCCCCUCUGCCGAACUCAAGCCCGGCAGUUACAAACGCAUUUCCAAGGUUGAGCCGGGGGAUUUCACACCUGUUUUAAAAAACCGCCUGCGCACCCUUUAC